GGCGGACGGGUGAGUAAUGUCUGGGAAACUGCCUGAUGGAGGGGGGUAACUACUGGAAACGGUAGCUAAUACCGCAUAACGUCGCAAGACCAAAGAGGGGGACCUUCGGGCCUCUUGCCAUCGGAUGUGCCCAGAUGGGAUUAGCUAGUAGGUGGGGUAAUGGCUCACCUAGGCGACGAUCCCUAGCUGGUCUGAGAGGAUGACCAGCCACACUGGAACUGAGGCACGGUCCAG
Molecule: ribosomal RNA, 234 nt
Filed under: uncultured bacterium
Lineage: Bacteria
Description: partial 16S ribosomal RNA
Rfam family: Bacterial small subunit ribosomal RNA
Source: RNAcentral